This 307-nucleotide long non-coding RNA is filed under the name Daucus carota (carrot). RNAcentral describes it as "long non-coding RNA (DCAR_LNC005891)". The record is from RNAcentral. Lineage: Eukaryota; Viridiplantae; Streptophyta; Magnoliopsida; Apiales; Apiaceae.
GUGACUAUUUGAGUUGGAGAUAUAAACCUUGGAUUUUAGGCAUAGCUAUAUGAGUCAGAUAUAGCUAUGUGGCCACCACCGCUGUGACCUGGUAUACUAGACUUCAGUAAGUCAGUCGGUGAAUGCUUUCUUUUUGUAAUAAAAAAUCCCGGUAGCUAAGUGGUUUAGCGGGCGACAGUUAGAGUUCAAGUGAAUGGUCGUUCUUGUGUGGGUUCGACUCCCAUAGCCCCGAUGUGACGAAAAAGACUGAUUCAACGAGAUACGCCGUGCCUGCAUUAAGAUUUCAAACUUGUCGUCUACUUUCAGG